RNAcentral lists this ribosomal RNA (468 nucleotides) under uncultured bacterium. RNAcentral's name for it is "partial 16S ribosomal RNA". It matches the Rfam family "Bacterial small subunit ribosomal RNA", at positions 28 to 507 of the family's 1533-position model. The record is from RNAcentral.
GACGAACGCUGGCGGCGUGCUUAACACACGCAAGUCGAACGGAAAGGCCCUGCUUUUGUGGGGUGCUCGAGUGGCGAACGGGUGAGUAACACGUGAGUAACCUGCCCUUGACUUUGGGAUAACUUCAGGAAACUGGGGCUAAUACCGGAUAGGAGCUCCUGCUGCAUGGUGGGGGUUGGAAAGUUUCGGCGGUUGGGGAUGGACUCGCGGCUUAUCAGCUUGUUGGUGGGGUAGUGGCUUACCAAGGCUUUGACGGGUAGCCGGCCUGAGAGGGUGACCAGCCACAUUGGGACUGAGAUACGGCCCAGACUCCUACGGGAGGCAGCAGUGGGGAAUAUUGCACAAUGGGCGGAAGCCUGAUGCAGCAACGCCGCGUGCGGGAUGACGGCCUUCGGGUUGUAAACCGCUUUCGCCUGUGACGAAGCGUGAGUGACGGUAAUGGGUAAAGAAGCACCGGCUAACUACGUG